CUCUCGGUAGCCAAGUUGGUUUAAGGCGCAAGACUGUAAUCGAAAAUUUGAAAUUUGUAAUCUUGAGAUCGGGCGUUCGAAUCGCCCCCGAGAGA
Molecule: transfer RNA, 95 nt
Filed under: Lachancea mirantina
Lineage: Eukaryota; Fungi; Ascomycota; Saccharomycetes; Saccharomycetales; Saccharomycetaceae
Rfam family: tRNA
About the family: Transfer RNA (tRNA) molecules are approximately 80 nucleotides in length. Their secondary structure includes four short double-helical elements and three loops (D, anti-codon, and T loops).
Source: Rfam by way of RNAcentral